This 854-nucleotide ribosomal RNA is filed under the name Paraburkholderia sp. RNAcentral describes it as "bacterial SSU rRNA". It matches the Rfam family "Bacterial small subunit ribosomal RNA", at positions 21 to 874 of the family's 1533-position model. Lineage: Bacteria; Pseudomonadati; Pseudomonadota; Betaproteobacteria; Burkholderiales; Burkholderiaceae. The record is from RNAcentral.
CCCCCUAAUGACGCUGGCGGCAUGCCUUACACAUGCAAGUCGAACGGCAGCACGGGGGCAAUCCUGGUGGCGAGUGGCGAACGGGUGAGUAAUACAUCGGAACGUGUCCUGUAGUGGGGGAUAGCCCGGCGAAAGCCGGAUUAAUACCGCAUACGCUCUACGGAGGAAAGGGGGGGAUCUUAGGACCUCCCGCUACAGGGGCGGCCGAUGGCAGAUUAGCUAGUUGGUGGGGUAAAGGCCUACCAAGGCGACGAUCUGUAGCUGGUCUGAGAGGACGACCAGCCACACUGGGACUGAGACACGGCCCAGACUCCUACGGGAGGCAGCAGUGGGGAAUUUUGGACAAUGGGGGAAACCCUGAUCCAGCAAUGCCGCGUGUGUGAAGAAGGCCUUCGGGUUGUAAAGCACUUUUGUCCGGAAAGAAAACCUCUGGGUUAAUACCCCGGGGGGAUGACGGUACCGGAAGAAUAAGCACCGGCUAACUACGUGCCAGCAGCCGCGGUAAUACGUAGGGUGCAAGCGUUAAUCGGAAUUACUGGGCGUAAAGCGUGCGCAGGCGGUCCGCUAAGACAGAUGUGAAAUCCCCGGGCUUAACCUGGGAACUGCAUUUGUGACUGGCGGGCUAGAGUAUGGCAGAGGGGGGUAGAAUUCCACGUGUAGCAGUGAAAUGCGUAGAGAUGUGGAGGAAUACCGAUGGCGAAGGCAGCCCCCUGGGCCAAUACUGACGCUCAUGCACGAAAGCGUGGGGAGCAAACAGGAUUAGAUACCCUGGUAGUCCACGCCCUAAACGAUGUCAACUAGUUGUCGGGUCUUCAUUGACUUGGUAACGUAGCUAACGCGUGAAGUGACCGCGU